RNAcentral lists this ribosomal RNA (245 nucleotides) under uncultured bacterium. Its description in RNAcentral is "partial 16S ribosomal RNA". It matches the Rfam family "Bacterial small subunit ribosomal RNA", at positions 524 to 768 of the family's 1533-position model. The record is from RNAcentral.
UACGGAGGGAGCUAGCGUUGUUCGGAAUCAUUGGGCGUAAAGCGCGCGCAGGCGGUUGAGUAAGUCGGACGUGGAAUCCCGAGGCUUAACCUCGGAAUUGCGUUUGAAACUGCUCGGCUAGAGUUCGGGAGAGGGUGGCGGAAUUCCCAGUGUAGAGGUGAAAUUCGUAGAUAUUGGGAGGAACACCUGUGGCGAAGGCGGCUUCCUGGACCGAUACUGACGCUGAGGCGCGAAAGCUAGGGGAG